RNAcentral lists this ribosomal RNA (776 nucleotides) under uncultured bacterium. RNAcentral's name for it is "SSU rRNA". It matches the Rfam family "Bacterial small subunit ribosomal RNA", at positions 91 to 853 of the family's 1533-position model. The record is from RNAcentral.
CUUAGCGGCGAACGGGUGAGUAACACGUAAAGAACCUGCCUUAUAGACUGGGACAACUACGGGAAACUGUAGCUAAUACCGGAUAAUAUAUAAAUCCGCAUGGAUGUAUAUUGAAAGUCGCUCAUGGUGACACUAUAAGAUGGCUUUGCGGUGCAUUAGCUAGUUGGAAGGGUAAAGGCCUACCAAGGCAACGAUACAUAGCCGACCUGAGAGGGUGAUCGGCCACACUGGGACUGAGACACGGCCCAGACUCCUACGGGAGGCAGCAGUAGGGAAUCUUCGGCAAUGGGGGGAACCCUGACCGAGCAACGCCGCGUGAGUGAAGAAGGUUUUCGGAUCGUAAAGCUCUGUUGUAAGAGAAGAACGAGUGUGAGAGUGGAAAGUUCACACUGUGACGGUAUCUUACCAGAAAGGGACGGCUAACUACGUGCCAGCAGCCGCGGUAAUACGUAGGUCCCGAGCGUUGUCCGGAUUUAUUGGGCGUAAAGCGAGCGCAGGCGGUUUGAUAAGUCUGAAGUUAAAGGCUGUGGCUCAACCAUAGUUCGCUUUGGAAACUGUCAAACUUGAGUGCAGAAGGGGAGAGUGGAAUUCCAUGUGUAGCGGUGAAAUGCGUAGAUAUAUGGAGGAACACCGGUGGCGAAAGCGGCUCUCUGGUCUGUAACUGACGCUGAGGCUCGAAAGCGUGGGGAGCAAACAGGAUUAGAUACCCUGGUAGUCCACGCCGUAAACGAUGAGUGCUAGGUGUUAGGCCCUUUCCGGGGCUUAGUGCCGCAGCU